CCAUGAAACCUUAGCUCUUCUCUUAUAAUUAGAGACUAAUUCUAGACACUAUUGUGGUGUGAAAAAUCAAAAAUAAAUAUUCUAAAAAAUUUGAGUCUUCUUCCUCCUCUUCCUAGUACUCAAGAGUAUCUGUAAGAUCUGUGAGAGAACAACCUCAGCCAUCAAAUAGGAGUCUUCUAUAUGGGAGCUAAUAUCCUGAUGAAGACACCUACCUCUAGUUGGAAUGAG
This 228-nucleotide long non-coding RNA is filed under the name Elaeis guineensis (African oil palm). RNAcentral describes it as "long non-coding RNA (EGUI_LNC069560)". Lineage: Eukaryota; Viridiplantae; Streptophyta; Magnoliopsida; Arecales; Arecaceae. The record is from RNAcentral.